This 253-nucleotide ribosomal RNA is filed under the name uncultured bacterium. RNAcentral's name for it is "partial 16S ribosomal RNA". It matches the Rfam family "Bacterial small subunit ribosomal RNA", at positions 524 to 776 of the family's 1533-position model. The record is from RNAcentral.
UACGAGGGGUGCAAGCGUUGCUCGGAAUUAUUGGGCGUAAAGGGUAGGUAGGUGGUCUUAUUUGUCUGGGGUGAAAGCCUUGAGCUUAACUCAAGAAGUGCCCCGGAAACGGUAAGACUGGAGUCCUGGAGAGGGUCGUGGAAUUCCCGGUGUAGCGGUGAAAUGCGUAGAUAUCUGGAGGAAUACCGGUGGCGAAGGCGGCAUCCUGGACCGAGAUUGACGCUGAUGAGCGAAAGCUAGGGGAGCAAACGGG